This 469-nucleotide long non-coding RNA is filed under the name Olea europaea subsp. europaea. Lineage: Eukaryota; Viridiplantae; Streptophyta; Magnoliopsida; Lamiales; Oleaceae. The record is from RNAcentral.
CAAUGUCUGAUUCUGGGCUUACUCAAUUGAGUCUGGGAGACAGCCACUACAGCGCGGGGACAUAUGGAGGAGACGUGAGGGUGGAACCUCGAAUUAGGAGGUUGGAGAUGCCCUUUUUGAAGGGAUAGAGCCGGAUGGAUGGGUCUUUCGUGUGGAGAGGUAUUUUCACAUUAACAAGAUGAUGGAGGAAGAAAAGGUGCAGGCCGCCUCGGUGUGCUUCGAUGGAGAAGCCCUAGCUUGGUUCAAAUGGGAGGAGAAACGCAGACCCAUGAAGAAUUUGGAGGAGGUGAAGGUUCGAUUGCUACGGCGAUUUCGACCCUCAUAGGAGGGGUCACUUUGUGCUCAGUUCCUAUCCCUCAAAUAGAGCGCCACCGUGAGAGACCACCGCCGGCAAUUUUAGACUUUGGCGUCGCCAUUGACAGGAGUUUCAGGGGAAAUUCUGGAGUGUAGCUUCCUCAACGGCCUGAAA